GAGUUCGUGCCCCCCGGGGUAGAUCUCCCACCCUGUUUACCUGACCCUGUUGCUUUGGCGGGCCGACCGUCCAGGCCGCCGGCGAUUCGCUGGCGUGCGCUCGCCAAAGGCCCCCAAACUCUGAACCUGAACGCGGCGUCCGAGUACUAUCUAAUAGUUAAAACUUUCAACAACGGAUCUCUUGGUUCU
This 189-nucleotide unclassified non-coding RNA is filed under the name rhizosphere metagenome. RNAcentral's name for it is "partial ribosomal RNA internal transcribed spacer region". The record is from RNAcentral.